RNAcentral lists this transfer RNA (83 nucleotides) under marine eukaryotic metagenome. It matches the Rfam family "tRNA". From Rfam's summary of the family: Transfer RNA (tRNA) molecules are approximately 80 nucleotides in length. Their secondary structure includes four short double-helical elements and three loops (D, anti-codon, and T loops). Further hydrogen bonds mediate the characteristic L-shaped molecular structure. tRNAs have two regions of fundamental functional importance: the anti-codon, which is responsible for specific mRNA codon recognition, and the 3' end, to which the tRNAs corresponding amino acid is attached (by aminoacyl-tRNA synthetases). tRNAs cope with the degeneracy of the genetic code in two manners: having more than one tRNA (with a specific anti-codon) for a particular amino acid; and 'wobble' base-pairing, i.e. permitting non-standard base-pairing at the 3rd anti-codon position. The record is from RNAcentral.
GAAGAGUGGCCGAGUGGUCGAAGGCGGCGGAUUUGAAAUCCGUUGUGCAGCAAUGUACCGUAGGUUCGAAUCCUAUCUCUUCC